This 1346-nucleotide ribosomal RNA is filed under the name uncultured bacterium. Its description in RNAcentral is "bacterial SSU rRNA". It matches the Rfam family "Bacterial small subunit ribosomal RNA", at positions 28 to 1381 of the family's 1533-position model. The record is from RNAcentral.
GACGAACGCUGGCGGCGUGCUUAACACAUGCAAGUCGAACGGAAAGGCCCUGCUUUUGUGGGGUGCUCGAGUGGCGAACGGGUGAGUAACACGUGAGUAACCUGCCCUUGACUUUGGGAUAACUUCAGGAAACUGGGGCUAAUACCGGAUAGGAGCUCCUGCUGCAUGGUGGGGGUUGGAAAGUUUCGGCGGUUGGGGAUGGACUCGCGGCUUAUCAGCUUGUUGGUGGGGUAGUGGCUUACCAAGGCUUUGACGGGUAGCCGGCCUGAGAGGGUGACCGGCCACAUUGGGACUGAGAUACGGCCCAGACUCCUACGGGAGGCAGCAGUGGGGAAUAUUGCACAAUGGGCGGAAGCCUGAUGCAGCAACGCCGCGUGCGGGAUGACGGCCUUCGGGUUGUAAACCGCUUUCGCCUGUGACGAAGCGUGAGUGACGGUAAUGGGUAAAGAAGCACCGGCUAACUACGUGCCAGCAGCCGCGGUGAUACGUAGGGUGCGAGCGUUGUCCGGAUUUAUUGGGCGUAAAGGGCUCGUAGGUGGUUGAUCGCGUCGGAAGUGUAAUCUUGGGGCUUAACCCUGAGCGUGCUUUCGAUACGGGUUGACUUGAGGAAGGUAGGGGAGAAUGGAAUUCCUGGUGGAGCGGUGGAAUGCGCAGAUAUCAGAGGGAACACCAGUGGCGAAGGCGGUUCUCUGGGCCUUUCCUGACGCUGAGGAGCGAAAGCGUGGGGAGCGAACAGGCUUAGAUACCCUGGUAGUCCACGCUGUAAACGGUGGGUACUAGGUGUGGGGUCCAUUCCACGGGUUCCGUGCCGUAGCUAACGCUUUAAGUACCCCGCCUGGGGAGUACGGCCGCAAGGCUAAAACUCAAAGGAAUUGACGGGGCCCCGCACAAGCGGCGGAGCAUGCGGAUUAAUUCGAUGCAACGCGUAGAACCUUACCUGGGUUUGACAUGGAUCGGGAGCGCUCAGAGAUGGGUGUGCCUCUUUUGGGGUCGGUUCACAGGUGGUGCAUGGCUGUCGUCAGCUCGUGUCGUGAGAUGUUGGGUUAAGUCCCGCAACGAGCGCAACCCUUGUUCACUGUUGCCAGCACGUUAUGGUGGGGACUCAGUGGAGACCGCCGGGGUCAACUCGGAGGAAGGUGGGGAUGACGUCAAGUCAUCAUGCCCCUUAUGUCCAGGGCUUCACGCAUGCUACAAUGGCUGGUACAGAGAGUGGCGAGCCUGUGAGGGUGAGCGAAUCUCGGAAAGCCGGUCUCAGUUCGGAUUGGGGUCUGCAACUCGACCUCAUGAAGUCGGAGUCGCUAGUAAUCGCAGAUCAGCAACGCUGCGGUGAAUACGUUCCCGGGGCU